RNAcentral lists this ribosomal RNA (515 nucleotides) under uncultured bacterium. RNAcentral's name for it is "partial 16S ribosomal RNA". It matches the Rfam family "Bacterial small subunit ribosomal RNA", at positions 28 to 523 of the family's 1533-position model. The record is from RNAcentral.
GAUGAACGCUGGCGGCGUGCCUAAUACAUGCAAGUCGAGCGAAUGGAUUAAGAGCUUGCUCUUAUGAAGUUAGCGGCGGACGGGUGAGUAACACGUGGGUGACCUGCCCAUAAGACUGGGAUAACUCCGGGAAACCGGGGCUAAUACCGGAUAAUAUUUUGAACUGCAUGGUUCAAAAUUGAAAGGCGGCUUCGGCUGUCACUUAUGGAUGGACCCGCGUCGCAUUAGCUAGUUGGUGAGGUAACGGCUCACCAAGGCAACGAUGCGUAGCCGACCUGAGAGGGUGAUCGGCCACACUGGGACUGAGACACGGCCCAGACUCCUACGGGAGGCAGCAGUAGGGAAUCUUCCGCAAUGGACGAAAGUCUGACGGAGCAACGCCGCGUGAGUGAUGAAGGCUUUCGGGUCGUAAAACUCUGUUGUUAGGGAAGAACAAGUGCUAGCUGAAUAAGCUGGCACCUUGACGGUACCUAACCAGAAAGCCACGGCUAACUACGUGCCAGCCGCCGCCGUAA